RNAcentral lists this long non-coding RNA (203 nucleotides) under Zonotrichia albicollis (white-throated sparrow). RNAcentral's name for it is "lncRNA (ENSZALG00000008468.1)". The record is from RNAcentral. Lineage: Eukaryota; Metazoa; Chordata; Aves; Passeriformes; Passerellidae.
AACAAGUACUCCUUAUUACAGAUUUAUUAUCCUUAUGACAUCUGUCCGCAGAACAGGGGAAUAGGUCAAGAUAUGUCUUCCCAUCAACGUUUCUGUACACAUGUGCAAGUUUUCUGUUCAAGGGAGAAAGGAUGGAAGAGUUAAAGGUGAAUUCUUACAUAGGCACAAUGCAUGGGCACUGUGACCUACAACCCUCCUGCUGA